AUGGGCGCCUGUACUGCAAGAAGGAUUACUGGGCACGCUUUGGGGAGCUGUGCCAUGGCUGCUCCGAGCAGAUCACCAAGGGGCUGGUCAUGGUGGCCGGGGAGCAGAAGUACCACCCCGAGUGCUUCAGCUGCCUCAACUGCCACGCCUUCAUCGGGGACGGGGACACCUACGCGCUGGUGGAGCGCUCCAAGCUCUACUGGUACGUCAGCUCUGGGGGGCUGGGGGGACACGUCCCCCGGUACCCCCACCCACCUCCUGCUCCGCUCCCCACAGCGGCCACUGCUACUACCAGAUGGUGGUGACCCCGGUGAUCGAGCAGAUCCUGCCCGACUCGCCGGCCUCCCGCAUCCCUCACACCGUCACCCUCGUGUCCAUCCCCGCCUGCUCCGACGGCAAGCGCGGCUUCUCCGUCUCCAUCGACCAGGGCUGCGGCAGCGAGCAUCCCCGCACCGUGCGCGUCCGAGAGUGCGUCCCUGUCCCCUCCCUGGGGCUGGGACAUCCCGCGCCCCUUCUGCCCCUGGGAUCUGUCCCACAGACCCUUUAGGAGUGGGAGGAGGAGCGGUGGGGCUGGGCUGUCCCCAUUGUCCUGGGGUGGCCUGUUGGGACCGUGGUGGCACUGCAGGGGGUUUGUGCUGGUGUGUCCCAUGCUGGCAUUGCCUCGUUUGCCAGUGGGCUGUCUGUCCCUGUGUGUCCCUGUGUGUCCCCGUGUGUCCCUGUGUGUCCCUGUGUGUCCCUGUGUGUCCCUGCGUGUCCCUGUGUGUCCCUGUGUGUCCCCGUGUGGUUGGGGUGGCUUGUGGAGACUGUGCCAUCACAUCCCUGUCCAUGAUGGAGGGUGACAGUGGGGUCUGACACAGCUGUUGGGAGUGUCCCAGCACACCCCCCUGAUGGUGACAGUGUCGGGGGUCUGACCCCACUGUCCCCAGGGUGGACCCGGACUGCAUCAGCCCUGACAUGAAGAACUCCAUCCACGUUGGUGACCGCAUCCUGGAGAUCAACGGGACCCCCAUCGGCCACGUCCCCCU
This 1025-nucleotide long non-coding RNA is filed under the name Cyanistes caeruleus (blue tit). RNAcentral describes it as "lncRNA (ENSCCEG00000001872.1)". Lineage: Eukaryota; Metazoa; Chordata; Aves; Passeriformes; Paridae. The record is from RNAcentral.